GCGGAUCCGCGGCCGCUGCAGAGUUUGAUCCUGGCUCAGGACGAACGCUGGCGGCGUGCCUAACACAUGCAAGUCGAGCGGGCAAGAAUUCAACACUGAGUAUUCAGUUAAAAGUAUGAAAAAGGUGUUGAGCCAGCGUCAAGCGCGAAGUUCACGCAAAUCAAAAAAGCCAACACAUGCUAAAGCUGAGUAUUGAGUGUUGAAUUCUUGCUAGCGGCGGACGGGUGAGUAACACGUGGGUAACCUGCCCUAAGGAGGGGGAUAACAGUCCGAAAGGAUUGCUAAUACCGCAUGAAGCUAUUGUUCUGCAUGGGAUAAUAGCCAAAGGAGAAAUCCGCCUUAGGAUGGGCCCGCGGCCAUAUAGCUAGUUGGUGAGGUAACGGCUCACCAAGGCAACGAUGGGUAGCCGGCCUGAGAGGGUGGCCGGCCACACUGGGACUGAGACACGGCCCAGACUCCUACGGGAGGCAGCAGUGGGGAAUAUUGCGCAAUGGGGGAAACCUGACGCAGCGACGCCGCGUGAGUGAAGAAGGCCUUCGGGUUGUAAAGCUCUGUCUUCCCUGAAGAAAAGAUGACGGUAAGGGAGGAGGAAGCCACGGCUAACUACGUGCCAGCAGCCGCGGUAAUACGUAGGUGGCGAGCGUUGUCCGGAAUUAUUGGGCGUAAAGGGUGCGUAGCGGCUCUUUAAGUGAGGUGUGAAACCCUGGGCUUAACCGAGGGAUGGCACUUCAAACUGGGGAGCUAGAGUGCAGGAGAGGAAACCGGAUUCCCA
This 772-nucleotide ribosomal RNA is filed under the name uncultured bacterium. Its description in RNAcentral is "partial 16S ribosomal RNA". It matches the Rfam family "Bacterial small subunit ribosomal RNA", at positions 1 to 671 of the family's 1533-position model. The record is from RNAcentral.